This is a long non-coding RNA of Triticum aestivum (bread wheat), 1666 nucleotides long. RefSeq lists it as uncharacterized. NCBI's taxonomy places the organism in Eukaryota, Viridiplantae, Streptophyta, Magnoliopsida, Poales, Poaceae. The transcript has 4 exons. The record is from RefSeq and is a predicted model, not a curated record.
CUCUCCCACCGGUGCCUCUCCUCUCGCCAGCCCUAGAUGUGCCGCUGCCGCCGUCACAGCCGCCGUCAUUCUCCUCUGAUCUGUCAUGUUCGUAGCUUCUCUGGGCGCAUCAUCUCCAUUCAUCCCCGCAAUUCUCCCUUCCAGACCGCCCUCUAGCGACCUAGAGCGAACGCCAAGUGCGCCCGGCGGCCACCUCCAACGCUCACCCCAGUGACUCUUCUCUGUGCCUCUCGAGGAUAUGAGAUAAUCUCUUCUGCUACGUUUGGUAAAGACGGAUUUGUUCUGAUGGGAGUGCGACUCAUCGGCGUGUAUGGUGUCUCGCCCGCGGGCGCGGCUACACGUCGAAGCCCUCGGAGGUCCCUGCUGCCACCGUCUUGCCUCCCGCUUGAGAGUUUGAACUGCACAUGCUUUGAUGGGCGUAUUGUACGCCACCGUCCUGCACCCCCGGCAAACCUGGCCGUGGUUUUGCUGCUGAAGAGAGCACCCCAACCAAGAGUUAAACCACUUUACUGAGGAAGAUGAUUUUAUACAGAAUCAUGGAAAACAUUUCUGAGAGACUUUCAUGAAGAAACCCAUGGAUGGCAUGGGGUAGAAGAAGCAAACAAAUGUUGGACUCCAUCUAGAACCUCAAUGAGCCGUACGACCGCGGUGCAGACCGGCCCUUGUAAGCUCCAGAUCACCCGCAAGACUGUUGCGAAUUUGGGCAGAAAUACUAGCUCUUAGUACUUGAAUACUUGUCGGUCCAUCACACAGGUAUGUGCUGGGAUUGGGGAAUAAUUACAUGUGACGCCUAUAGAGUGACAUAUAUCAAUUGCCUUUGAUGUUCGUGGUGUUAUUGGUUCUGGUUGGUUUGAAAAGAUACACAUGAAUGGGGUGUUUUAAUGCAGCGUCUCCUGCUCCAAGUUUGUGACAAAACCCCAGAAGCAUGUUGAGGGCAUAUUACAAUCAAAAUAACAAGAAAUCCGCCAAACAUUGUGUGAUCAACUUCUUCUUUUGGUUUUGGGGAUUGCAUCUUGCUUGGCCUCCGGGUAUUUCAGCCCCAACAAUGAUAUUUAGUUUAUUGUGGAAUAACUACCUGUUUGGAUGGAAUUUAUUUUAACAUAAUUUUACUGCUAAAAUGUAACACAACAAUAAUGAUGGAAAUCCAUGUUAUGUUCUUCUAAUAGAGUAAGAUUCUGGCUUUUUCCUAAAAAAAUGGGUUAAAUAGUUAUACUUAAAUAAAGAUACAGGCAGGUGUGCAAGUAUAUGAUAACUUGCUCUCCAGUGAGUUGCAAAGCGAUGUGAUUGGAAUUGUAUAUACACGUGCUUGAUCAAUCACAAAUUAUACCAUCUAAAGUUCAGCGCAAAUUGGUACUAAACUUAAGAGAAUCGCUUUGAGUGACAUUUAUAUAUGCAUGUGAUUGGACUUACUAUGCAAUUUGUGACCUUUAUCCUUUAGGUCUUUAAGAUUAUGAUUGUCUAUCAGUUUAAUAUUAUCUGGUUACUGACUGUUAUGAUUUUUUUUUGCCAUGUUAAGGUUCUCGAUUGUUUACUCAAGUUCCAUUGAUAUUAUUGUGCCUUUUCUUCCAUACAGGUUUCUUGCAUAAGUGUUUGUUGGUACUAGGUUGAUGUAUCUCAUGUCAAUAUGAUAUAUUCUAUGAUCAGAAUAGUGAUUUUUUGCUCGACA